The sequence is a ribosomal RNA, 251 nucleotides long. It matches the Rfam family "Bacterial large subunit ribosomal RNA", at positions 2654 to 2912 of the family's 2925-position model. The record is from Rfam.
UUGGAAACGAGGACUAAUACCGUGUCCCUAGUACGAGAGGACCGGGAUGGACAUCCCUCUGGUGUACCAGUUGUCACGCCCGUGGCAUCGCUGGGUAGCUAAGGAUGGACAGGAUAACCGCUGAAAGCAUCUAAGCGGGAAGCCUCCCUCGAAACCAGGUUUCCCUAUCAGGACCGUGGUAGACCACCACGUUGAUAGGCCGGGUGUGGAAGCGCAGUAAUGCGUGAAGCUAACCGGUACUAAUCGUCCGA